GUUCGGGUUGUCAUGCCAAUGGCACUGCCCGGUAGCUAAAUGCGGAAGAGAUAAGUGCUGAAAGCAUCUAAGCACGAAACUUGCCCCGAGAUGAGUUCUCCCUGACUCCUUGAGAGUCCUGAAGGAACGUUGAAGACGACGACGUUGAUAGGCCGGGUGUGUAAGCGCAGCGAUGCGUUGAGCUAACCGGUACUAAUGAACCGUGAGGCUUAACCUUACAACGCCGAAG
This 229-nucleotide ribosomal RNA is filed under the name Escherichia coli. RNAcentral describes it as "partial 23S ribosomal RNA". It matches the Rfam family "Bacterial large subunit ribosomal RNA", at positions 2714 to 2925 of the family's 2925-position model. The record is from RNAcentral. Lineage: Bacteria; Pseudomonadati; Pseudomonadota; Gammaproteobacteria; Enterobacterales; Enterobacteriaceae.